Molecule: ribosomal RNA, 443 nt
Filed under: uncultured bacterium
Lineage: Bacteria
Description: partial 16S ribosomal RNA
Rfam family: Bacterial small subunit ribosomal RNA
Source: RNAcentral
CCUACGGGAGGCAGCAGUGGGGAAUAUUGGGCAAUGGGCGCAAGCCUGACCCAGCAACGCCGCGUGAAGGAAGAAGGCUUUCGGGUUGUAAACUUCUUUUGUCAGGGACGAAGAAAGUGACGGUCCCUGACGAAUAAGCCACGGCUCACUACGUGCCAGCAGCCGCGGUAAUACGUAGGUGGCAAGCGUUAUCCGGAUUUCGUGGGUGUAAAGGGCGUGUAGGCGGGACUUCGAGUCAGAUGUGAAUACCACGGACUCAACCUGUGGCCUGCAUUUGAAACUGUAGUUCUUGAGUACAGGAGAGGCAGACGGAAUUCGUAGUGUAGCGGUGAAAUGCGUAGAUAUUAGGAGGAACACCAGUGGCGAAGGCGGUCUGCUGGACAGCAACUGACGCUGAGGCGCGAAAGCGUGGGGAGCAAACAGGAUUAGAUACCCUUGUAGUC